UACGUAGGGGGCAAGCGUUGUCCGGAUUUAUUGGGCGUAAAGAGCGUGUAGGCGGCCUGACAGGUCUGCUGUGAAAACUCGAGGCUCAACCUCGAGAUGUCGGCGGGAACCGUCUGGCUAGAGUCCGGAAGAGGAGAGUGGAAUUCCUGGUGUAGCGGUGAAAUGCGCAGAUAUCAGGAAGAACACCUAUGGCGAAGGCAGCUCUCUGGGACGGUACUGACGCUGAGACGCGAAAGCGUGGGGAGCGAACAGG
RNAcentral lists this ribosomal RNA (253 nucleotides) under uncultured bacterium. RNAcentral's name for it is "partial 16S ribosomal RNA". It matches the Rfam family "Bacterial small subunit ribosomal RNA", at positions 524 to 776 of the family's 1533-position model. The record is from RNAcentral.